RNAcentral lists this ribosomal RNA (465 nucleotides) under Vreelandella stevensii. Its description in RNAcentral is "partial 16S ribosomal RNA". It matches the Rfam family "Bacterial small subunit ribosomal RNA", at positions 338 to 795 of the family's 1533-position model. The record is from RNAcentral. Lineage: Bacteria; Pseudomonadati; Pseudomonadota; Gammaproteobacteria; Oceanospirillales; Halomonadaceae.
CCUACGGGUGGCUGCAGUGGGGAAUAUUGGACAAUGGGCGAAAGCCUGAUCCAGCCAUGCCGCGUGUGUGAAGAAGGCCUUCGGGUUGUAAAGCACUUUCAGUGGGGAAGAAAGCCUUGGGGCGAAUACCCUCGAGGAAGGACAUCACCCACAGAAGAAGCACCGGCUAACUCCGUGCCAGCAGCCGCGGUAAUACGGAGGGUGCGAGCGUUAAUCGGAAUUACUGGGCGUAAAGCGCGCGUAGGCGGUCUGAUAAGCCGGUUGUGAAAGCCCCGGGCUCAACCUGGGAACGGCAUCCGGAACUGUCAGGCUAGAGUGCAGGAGAGGAAGGUAGAAUUCCCGGUGUAGCGGUGAAAUGCGUAGAGAUCGGGAGGAAUACCAGUGGCGAAGGCGGCCUUCUGGACUGACACUGACGCUGAGGUGCGAAAGCGUGGGUAGCAAACAGGAUUAGAUACCCCAGUAGUC